UACGAAGGGGGCUAGCGUUGUUCGGAUUUACUGGGCGUAAAGCGCGUGUAGGCGGAUUUGUAAGUUGGGGGUGAAAUCCCGAGGCUCAACCUCGGAACUGCCUCCAAAACUACAAAUCUGGACUCAAGUAGAGGCAAGUGGAAUUGCGAGUGUAGAGGUGAAAUUCGUAGAUAUUCGCAGGAACACCAGUGGCGAAGGCGACUUGCUGGACUUGUAGUGACGCUGAGACGCGAAAGCGUGGGGAGCAAACAGG
This 253-nucleotide ribosomal RNA is filed under the name uncultured bacterium. Its description in RNAcentral is "partial 16S ribosomal RNA". It matches the Rfam family "Bacterial small subunit ribosomal RNA", at positions 524 to 776 of the family's 1533-position model. The record is from RNAcentral.